AAGAAGCUGUUCGAUGGACAGAGAUGAUUCGGGCAUCACGAGAAAAUCCAGCCAUGCAGGAAAAAAAAAGGUCAAGCAUUUGGCAGUUUUUCAGCCGACUUUUCAGCUCCUCAAGUAACACGACUAAGAAGCCUGAACCACCUGUUAAUCUGAAGUACAAUGCACCCACGUCUCAUGUUACUCCAUCCGUCAAGAAAAGAAGCAGCACCUUAUCUCAGCUCCCUGGGGAUAAGUCCAAAGCCUUUGAUUUCCUUAGUGAAGAAACUGAAGCUAGUUUAGCCUCACGCAGAGAACAAAAGAGAGAGCAGUAUCGUCAGGUAAAAGCACAUGUUCAGAAGGAAGACGGUAGAGUGCAGGCUUUUGGCUGGAGUCUGCCUCAGAAGUACAAACAGGUAAUAUGCACGUGGUAAGAGCAUCCAGCAGGAAAGAAGAGGGCGAGUUGAGUGUGCGUGGGCAUGAAGGAUUCACUGUAUGCAUCCCAGCCCUGCUCAUCUCAGCCGCAUGGACUGGGCACACAUUUAAGCAUGGAGGGUGGUGGUUUUCAGGCUGUUUUCUAGAGCUGUAGAACUCAAAUGAAAUGCUCUGAGUCUGUGAGGAGGGGAGGAGUCAAUAAAGGGUGGCUAAGUGCAUGGAGUUUGAGGUACCCGCUCUGCUGUAACCAGAGCAAUUCUGGUUUAAUAUUUGAAGAUUUCAUUUUUUAAAAAACCAGCAUCAUUGUUGAAAAAA
This 726-nucleotide small RNA is filed under the name Pan troglodytes (chimpanzee). RNAcentral's name for it is "retained intron". Lineage: Eukaryota; Metazoa; Chordata; Mammalia; Primates; Hominidae. The record is from RNAcentral.